This 539-nucleotide ribosomal RNA is filed under the name Podospora sp. HT002-R1-3. RNAcentral's name for it is "eukaryotic LSU rRNA". The stretch from base 184 to 337 matches the Rfam family "5.8S ribosomal RNA". Lineage: Eukaryota; Fungi; Ascomycota; Sordariomycetes; Sordariales; Podosporaceae. The record is from RNAcentral.
GUCGUAACAAGGUUUCCGUAGGUGAACCUUCGGAAGGAUCAUUACCUAGAGUUUGUGGGCUUUGCCCACUGUCUCUUACCCAUGUCUUUUGAGUACUUACGUUUCCUCGGUGGGCUCGCCCGCCGGUUGGACAAUUUAAACCAUUUGCAGUUGCAAUCAGCGUCUGAAAAACAUAAUAGUUACAACUUUCAACAACGGAUCUCUUGGUUCUGGCAUCGAUGAAGAACGCAGCGAAAUGCGAUAAGUAGUGUGAAUUGCAGAAUUCAGUGAAUCAUCGAAUCUUUGAACGCACAUUGCGCCCCUUGGUAUUCCAUGGGGCAUGCCUGUUCGAGCGUCAUUUGUACCUUCAAGCUCUGCUUGGUGUUGGGUGUUUGUCUCGCCUUGCGCGUAGACUCGCCUUAAAACAAUUGGCAGCCGGCGUAUUGAUUUCGGAGCGCAGUACAUCUCGCGCUUUGCACUCAUAACGACGACGUCCAAAAGUACUUUUUACACUCUUGACCUCGGAUCAGGUAGGGAUACCCGCUGAACUUAAGCAUAUC